AUUGAACGCUGGCGGCAUGCCUUACACAUGCAAGUCGAACGGUAACAGGUCUUCGGAUGCUGACGAGUGGCGAACGGGUGAGUAAUACAUCGGAACGUGCCUAGUAGUGGGGGAUAACUACUCGAAAGAGUGGCUAAUACCGCAUGAGAUCUACGGAUGAAAGCAGGGGAUCGCAAGACCUUGUGCUACUAGAGCGGCCGAUGGCAGAUUAGGUAGUUGGUGGGAUAAAAGCUUACCAAGCCGACGAUCUGUAGCUGGUCUGAGAGGACGAUCAGCCACACUGGGACUGUGACACGGCCCAGACUCCAACGGGAGGCAGCAGUGGGGAAUUUUGGACAAUGGGCGAAAGCCUGAUCCAGCAAUGCCGCGUGCAGGAUGAAGGCCUUCGGGUUGUAAACUGCUUUUGUACGGAACGAAAAGCCCCGGGUUAAUACCCUGGGGUCAUGACGGUACCGUAAGAAUAAGCACCGGCUAACUACGUGCCAGCCGCCGCGGUAA
This 498-nucleotide ribosomal RNA is filed under the name uncultured bacterium. Its description in RNAcentral is "partial 16S ribosomal RNA". It matches the Rfam family "Bacterial small subunit ribosomal RNA", at positions 30 to 523 of the family's 1533-position model. The record is from RNAcentral.